Molecule: small nuclear RNA, 184 nt
Organism: Polypterus senegalus (gray bichir)
Lineage: Eukaryota; Metazoa; Chordata; Cladistia; Polypteriformes; Polypteridae
Product: U2 spliceosomal RNA
Exons: 1
Source: RefSeq, a predicted model, not a curated record
UCAGCUUCUCAGCCUAUUGGUCAAGAUCAAGUGUGUAUCUGUUCUAACAGUUUAAUAUCUGAUACUGUCCCCAUCUGGGAAUCUUGUAUAUUAAAUUGAUUUUUGGGAACAGAGAAUGGAAUAGGGCUUGCUCAUCUAAUCUACCAUCACUCAGUAUUGCAGUGUAUUUCCAGGAGCACUUCCU